RNAcentral lists this ribosomal RNA (849 nucleotides) under Terriera ilicis. Its description in RNAcentral is "SSU rRNA". It matches the Rfam family "Bacterial small subunit ribosomal RNA", at positions 450 to 1174 of the family's 1533-position model. The record is from RNAcentral. Lineage: Eukaryota; Fungi; Ascomycota; Leotiomycetes; Rhytismatales; Rhytismataceae.
CCAUAGGAAUACUAUUACGAAAAAACAAUUUUAUAUCAAAAGUCUUGACCAAAUUACGUGCCAGCAGUCGCGGUAAUACGUAGAAGACAAGUGUUAGUCAUCUUUAAUAGGUUUAAAGGGUACCUAGACGGCAUUAUUAACCCGAAACGGAAAUAGUUUUGCUAGAGUUUGAUACGAGAAGGGGAGUAUUUAGGGAGUAGAGAUGAAAUUCUUUGAUACCUUAAGGACUGGUUAGGGCGAAAGCGGCCUUUUAUGUAAAAACUGACGUUGAGGGACGGAGGCUUAGAUAGCGAACAGGAUUAGAUACCCUAGUAGUCUUUGCAGAGAAUUAUGAAUGUCAUAGAUUAGAUUUAUUUUGGUUUAUAAAUGAAAGUGUAAGCAUUCCACCUCAUGAGUAAUGUGGCAACGCAGGAACUGAAAUCAUUAGACCGUUUCUGAGAACAGUAGUGAAGUAUGUUAUUUAAUUCGAUGGCCCUCGAAAAACCUUACCACAACUUGAAUAUUAGCAUAGACGAUCCUCCUAGAGAAUUAGAAACAGAACCUAAUAUAAAUUAACCCCUCUCUAGGAACUUAUUAAGUGUGAGUAUGUAUUGGAUAGUUUAAACUUCCGAUUACAGAAUAGUACUAGUAAUCUAUGACGGAUUGUGUAGAUUUUAUAAGGAGUAGUGUUGCAUUUUAACGAUGCAGUAUCAGACCUAUAUACGGUGUUAAAUACAAGUGUUGCACGGUUGUCUUCAGCUAAUGUCGUGAGACUGUGGUUAGCUCCAUUAAAUUAGCGGAAACCCCGGCUUUAUUUUUUAAUUUUUUUAUCAUAAAGCCAGUUCUAUCAUAUUUAUGAUUAGGGAAAAC